RNAcentral lists this ribosomal RNA (378 nucleotides) under Providencia rettgeri. RNAcentral's name for it is "bacterial SSU rRNA". It matches the Rfam family "Bacterial small subunit ribosomal RNA", at positions 1156 to 1533 of the family's 1533-position model. Lineage: Bacteria; Pseudomonadati; Pseudomonadota; Gammaproteobacteria; Enterobacterales; Morganellaceae. The record is from RNAcentral.
UGAUAAACCGGAGGAAGGUGGGGAUGACGUCAAGUCAUCAUGGCCCUUACGAGUAGGGCUACACACGUGCUACAAUGGCGUAUACAAAGAGAAGCGACCUCGCGAGAGCAAGCGGAACUCAUAAAGUACGUCGUAGUCCGGAUUGGAGUCUGCAACUCGACUCCAUGAAGUCGGAAUCGCUAGUAAUCGUAGAUCAGAAUGCUACGGUGAAUACGUUCCCGGGCCUUGUACACACCGCCCGUCACACCAUGGGAGUGGGUUGCAAAAGAAGUAGGUAGCUUAACCUUCGGGAGGGCGCUUACCACUUUGUGAUUCAUGACUGGGGUGAAGUCGUAACAAGGUAACCGUAGGGGAACCUGCGGUUGGAUCACCUCCUUA